RNA transcript from Hypanus sabinus (Atlantic stingray), 3064 nucleotides. It is a transcript of the gene named YTH N6-methyladenosine RNA binding protein F1, with no coding region annotated. Lineage: Eukaryota; Metazoa; Chordata; Chondrichthyes; Myliobatiformes; Dasyatidae. The record is from RefSeq and is a predicted model, not a curated record. The transcript is spliced from 7 exons.
GCCAUUGGGUUAAACGUCUGAGAAAUCCGUACGAGGAGCCAAGUUGAAGUGGAGGGGGAACUGCGGCCUUUGGUUACUUCUCCGAGCCCAGCGCCUCAACAACACAUUGGAUUUCGCGUCUGCAGCUGAGCGGGUGCAAGUGGUGAUUGAUGAAGCAUGUCUGCCACAAGCGUUGACCCUCAGAGAGCAAAAGGACAAGAGAAUAAAGUGCAAAAUGGUUCGUUGCAUCAAAAGGAUGCAGUGCACGACAACGAUUUUGAGCCAUACCUAAGCAGCCAGUCUAAUCAGAAUAACAGCUAUCCUUCAAUGACUGAUCCAUAUCUGUCAAGCUAUUAUGCUCCUUCCAUUGGAUUUUCCUAUUCUCUUAGUGAAGCAGCACCAUGGUCCACUGGUGGUGAUCCUCCUAUUCCAUACUUAACAACAUAUGGACAACUGAGCAACGGAGACCAUCAUUUCAUGCAUGAUGCUGUGUUUGGUCAACCUGGGGGCCUAGGGAGCACUCCAUAUUUAAAUCAGCAUAGGUUCAACUUUUUUCCUGAAAAUCCUGGGUUUUCUGCUUGGGGGACAGGCGGGUCUCAGGGACAACAAACACCAAGUUCAGCAUAUGGCAGUAGCUAUAGUUACCCACCUAGUUCUUUGGGUGGGACAAUAGUAGAUGGACAGGCAGGGUUUCCAAAUGAUACUUUGAAUAAAGCCCCAGGCAUGAAUAGCAUUGAACAAGGGAUGGUUGGAUUAAAGAUUGGUGGAGCUGUGACCUCAUCAGGUGUGAAGACAGUGGGGUCUGUGGUGAAUAGCCCAGGGAUAACUAAUGCAGCACCUGGAAAUGGCUCAACAGUGGGUGUAUCUGCUCCAAAGCCAACGUCAUGGGCUGCCAUUGCAAGUAAACCAGCCAAGCCUCAACCAAAACUAAAACCAAAGACUGGAGCAGCAGUGGGAAGUUCUGCAUUGCCUCCACCUCCUAUAAAACACAAUAUGGAUAUUGGUACGUGGGAUAAUAAAGGACCUGUAGCAAAAGCUCCUCCACCUAAUCAGGUCCCUACUACUCAGGUAGUUCCUCAGCAGCAAUUGACUCAGCCCCCUCCAACUCAGCAGUUGCAGAUUCCACAGCAACCAUUUCAGAAUCCUCAGCAACCCCCACAGAAUCGUUGGAUAGCCCCUCGCAACAGAGGUGCAGCAUUUGGUCAAAAUAAUGGACCUGGUAAUGAAAACAACUCUCUGGGUAAUGUACCAGUUAGCUCUCCACCAAGCAAUGAGACUCAUCCUGUCCUUGAAAAACUGAAGGCUGCUUACAGCUAUAAUCCAAAAGACUUUGACUGGAAUGUCAAAAAUGGUCGAGUGUUUAUUAUCAAGAGCUACUCUGAGGAUGACAUCCAUCGUUCUAUCAAGUACUCCAUUUGGUGCAGUACAGAACAUGGCAAUAAACGCUUGGACAGUGCAUAUCGCUCGCUGGCUGGCAAGGGUCCUGUUUACUUACUAUUCAGUGUAAAUGGCAGUGGACAUUUUUGUGGAGUUGCAGAAAUGAAAUCAGCAGUGGACUAUGGCACAUGUGCUGGAGUUUGGUCACAGGACAAGUGGAAAGGAAAAUUUGAUGUUAAGUGGAUCUUUGUAAAGGAUGUGCCUAAUAACCAGCUGAGGCAUAUCCGUUUGGAAAACAAUGAUAAUAAGCCAGUCACUAACUCUCGAGACACACAGGAGGUUCCUUUAGAAAAAGCCAAGCAAGUGCUCAAAAUUAUUGCUACUUACAAGCAUACCACCUCAAUUUUUGAUGACUUUUCACAUUAUGAAAAGCGCCAGGAAGAGGAGGAAGUUGUACGUAAGGACAAGGUUUCUCUACCAGUGGCUUCUCAUUAUUUACAAGCCACCGUUCCUAUGAAGGCACAGUCAUCCAAGCUUCAGGGAGAAUGAGCUGCAUCAGAACGGCUGCAUCAGUCCUCAUCCUCUUCAAGUUUUGCUCCAAAGAUCUCUGGAGCGCCUGAAUCGAAACAAAUGAUAAGAAAACAUUUGACUUGAUGAAUUAUUUAAAAAAAACUGAAAAAAGCUGGUGCUGUGAUUCCAGCAUCAGAAUGAAAAAUCAAAGCUUUCUGCUCCAGUGAUAUCUUUAUGUGCAGGGGAAUUAAGCUAUAUCAUGUUUUUAAUACUCUUCAGUUUUUUGAUUUUGUUUUUGCCCAGACUGGUCUGCAUUUUGUUUGUAAUUUUGCACCUAAAUGCUGUAGCAGUCACUGGUAACUUCUGUUACACUGAAGCUUUAGCUUGCAUUUGUUUAGCAAUCCUGGGAAGAUGAGCACUCUGUGCUCCUUUUUAUAGGAAAUAUUACUGCAUCAGCCUUCUGUAGUUUGGAUGAUGUGAUGCUUUCAGCGUUACUAGUUUUUGGUGAUGUGCAUUAACUUUGAGCUUUUUUUCAAGCUGCUGUUAAUUUGCAUUCUUUCAUGAAAAUCCCACGGCCAUUUUAUUUUUCCUUCUGUAAAGCUAAGCUUUAAUGUAGGAACAAAUAGUGGAAAUGAUGGUUGAUGUCUCAAAAAAUAUAAAUUGAUGCAAACGUCUCUUGAUUCUUCCAAAAUGAAAUACUUUGAUUCAUUUUCUGUCCGAAAGCUGUACUUUGCUGUACUGUCUGUGAAAUGAGGGAACCAUUGAAAUUGCUGCAGACUGGAUAAAGCAUGAAACGGUGCUCAUGCCUGUUGCUUUAGUUCACAGAAACUUGCACGUGUUUAUUGUAGAGGAACUUUACUAUCAUUAGGAAGCAAACGAUUAACUCUUCUAAACUUAGUUAUAAAAAUGGACCUCAAUUUAAAGAAAUAAACUAUCAUUUAGACUUAUUUAGACAAUUUUAGUUAUGUCUAUGGAAUAUUGCCUGUAAGGUAAAUGAACAUCAUUGGGUUGAUUUUCUUUCCUCUAGGAGAAUACAAGCCUUAAUAAACAAUAUCUGUUUAGCAAGCACAAGUGAUUUCUUCUUCAUGGCUCCAUUAAGUUAUGUUCAGCUUUCUUUCCAUUUAUGUUUGGAUUUACCGUAUUGUUAAAAAUGUGCAAUGAAUACCUAUACAUGAAUUGCAUUAAAUUCUGAAUCUUC